UACGUAGGGUGCGAGCGUUAAUCGGAAUUACUGGGCGUAAAGCGUGCGUAGGCGGUCCGCGAAGUCUGAUGUGAAAGCCCCGGGCUCAACCUGGGAACUGCAUUGGAAACUAACGGGCUCGAGUGUGGCAGAGGGGGGUGGAAUUCCACGUGUAGCAGUGAAAUGCGUAGAGAUGUGGAGGAACACCGAUGGCGAAGGCAGCCCCCUGGGCUAACACUGACGCUCAGGCACGAAAGCGUGGGGAGCAAACAGG
This 253-nucleotide ribosomal RNA is filed under the name uncultured bacterium. RNAcentral's name for it is "partial 16S ribosomal RNA". It matches the Rfam family "Bacterial small subunit ribosomal RNA", at positions 524 to 776 of the family's 1533-position model. The record is from RNAcentral.